This 492-nucleotide ribosomal RNA is filed under the name uncultured bacterium. RNAcentral's name for it is "partial 16S ribosomal RNA". It matches the Rfam family "Bacterial small subunit ribosomal RNA", at positions 29 to 507 of the family's 1533-position model. The record is from RNAcentral.
AGUGAACGCUGGCGGUAGGCCUAACACAUGCAAGUCGAACGGCAGCACAGUAAGAGCUUGCUCUUACGGGUGGCGAGUGGCGGACGGGUGAGGAAUACAUCGGAAUCUACUUUUUCGUGGGGGAUAACGGAGGGAAACUUACGCUAAUACCUCAUACGACCUACGGCUGAAAUCAGGGGAUCUUCGGACCUUGCGCGAUUGAAUGAGCCGAUGUCGGAUUAGCUAGUUGGCGGGGUAAAGGCCAACCAAGGCGACGAUCCGUAGCUGGUCUGGGAGGAUGGCCACCACAAUGGGACCGGGAAACCGGCCAAGACUCCUACGGGAGGAACAAGUGGGGAACAUUGGCAAAGGGGGGCAAGCCUGCUGAAGACAUCCCGCGUGGGUGAAGAAGGCCUUCGGGUUGUAAACCCCUUUUGUUGGGAAAGAAAAGCAGCAGGUUAAUACCCCGCUGAUCUGACGGUAACCAAAGAAUAAGCAACGGCUAACUUCGUG